This 392-nucleotide ribosomal RNA is filed under the name uncultured microorganism. RNAcentral describes it as "bacterial SSU rRNA". It matches the Rfam family "Archaeal small subunit ribosomal RNA", at positions 330 to 723 of the family's 1478-position model. The record is from RNAcentral.
GUGCAGCAGGCGAGAAACCUCCGCAAUGCGGGAAACCGUGACGGGGUCACCCCGAGUGCCACCCGAUGAGGGUGGCUUUUCCCCGGUCUAAAAAGCCGGGGGCAAUAAGCGGGGGGCAAGUCUGGUGUCAGCCGCCGCGGUAAUACCAGCCCCGCGAGUGGUCGGGACGUUUAUUGGGCCUAAAGCGUCCGUAGCCGGCUCGGUAAGUCCCUCCUUAAAUCCACGGGCUCAACCCGUGGGCUGGGAGGGAUACUGCCGGGCUAGGGGGCGGGAGAGGCCGAGGGUACUCCCGGGGUAGGGGCGAAAUCCGUUAAUCCCGGGAGGACCACCAGUGGCGAAGGCGCUCGGCUGGAACGCGCCCGACGGUGAGGGACGAAAGCUGGGGGAGCAAA